UCCUGCUUCCGAGCCGGCCUGUCAGAGUAGAGACUGGGCGUGGUUUAAACUCACCCAGCCUAUCGUUGAAUGUUGGCGCACAGGCUGGUCCCAGCUCCCUAGGCGCUUCAGCGGUCAGUCGUUGUAGUUGUGUAGAAUAUCUAUGCGCCCAUGCUCGAUACAGAUAUCACACACCUGGCUCCUGUUAUCUAACAAAAGACUGUUUGUUCUCGCAACACUACGUUCUGAAUGUGCCCCCACAACUCAUUGCACAGUUCUUGUCUUCAUGUUAUUCUGUAUUUUUCCAUCAUGAGAAAGGCCCAUGGCCCUGAAACUGUUAACAAUGUCUCAAGUCAGCUAUGUUGCAUGACACAUAUACCCACACAAGCCAAAAGCAAAUUAUAUUCCAUCACAUAUGAUAUGGUAACGGGCUAGUGUAUAACACAGAACCUCACACGUUCGAUUUUUUGCUGAUAUGGGAACGAAUACACAAGCAGCAUAUCAAACUGGGAUGAUGUUUAUGUUACAUUAUCCAAUUGACCACCAGAGACAUUCUUCAAAGGACUCGGUUGGGCAACACGGCCUUCCAUCUAUCACCAACCUACCGCAGCUCAGAGACCUGAGCCCUAGGACCAUGCCCCAGAACUACCUGACAUGAUGACUCCUUGCUAUCCCCAGUCCACCUGGCCGUGCUGCUGCUCCAGUUUCAAUUGUUC
Oncorhynchus tshawytscha (Chinook salmon) is the source of this 695-nucleotide long non-coding RNA. The record is from Ensembl. NCBI's taxonomy places the organism in Eukaryota, Metazoa, Chordata, Actinopteri, Salmoniformes, Salmonidae.